Long non-coding RNA from Agrilus planipennis (emerald ash borer), 439 nucleotides. RefSeq lists it as uncharacterized. The transcript is spliced from 5 exons. NCBI's taxonomy places the organism in Eukaryota, Metazoa, Arthropoda, Insecta, Coleoptera, Buprestidae. The record is from RefSeq and is a predicted model, not a curated record.
AUUAUUUAUACUAAAUCAGUUGGUUAUUGAAAUGGCAACCGUACUUGCUUUCUUUAAAGUACUUCUUGUUGAUUGAAAUAAGUACUUAUGGUUUUCCUUAUCAAAGUCGUAUUAGAAAGCCUACGUUGGAACAGGUCGUGGUGGAGUGCUCGAAGAGAAAUCGACUACUACAAUAGAAAAACACAACAUCCGUAUGGCUUCUCCAAGGAGUAGAGGAUCUUCUUUGGAGCGUUCAUACUGAGAGAGAUGUGGUGAAGCAAAUGCAAUCAUGUCGCUUUUCCAAGGCGUAGAGGACCUUCUUUGGGGUGUUCGUACUGGGCGAUGCGGUCACGUCGCUUUCCCAAGGCGCAGAGCACCUUCGUUGGAGCGUUCGUACUGGGCGAUGAAGUAAUGCGAUCACGUCUCGUCGGUAAGUCUCACUCAGAUAUAAACAUAUAAU